CCUACGGGUGGCAGCAGUGGGGGAUAUUGCACAAUGGGGGGAACCCUGAUGCAGCGACGCCGCGUGGGUGAAGAAGCGCCUCGGCGCGUAAGGCCCUGUCAGCAGGGAAGAAAAUGACGGUACCUGAAGAAGAAGCCCCGGCUAACUACGUGCCAGCAGCCGCGGUAAUACGUAGGGGGCAAGCGUUAUCCGGAUUUACUGGGGGUAAAGGGGGCGCAGUCGGCGGUGGAAGCCAGGAGUGAAAGCACGGGGCCCAACCCCGGGACUGCACUUGAAACUGGGUGGCUGGAGUGCAGGAGAGGCAGGCGGAAUUCGUGGUGUAGCGGUGAAAUGCGUAGAUAUCAGGAGGAACACCGGUGGCGAAGGCGGCCUGCUGGACUGCAACUGACGUUGAGGCCCGAAAGCGUGGGGAGCAAACAGGAUUAGAUACCCUUGUAGUC
Molecule: ribosomal RNA, 440 nt
Filed under: uncultured bacterium
Lineage: Bacteria
Description: partial 16S ribosomal RNA
Rfam family: Bacterial small subunit ribosomal RNA
Source: RNAcentral